UACGUAGGGUGCGAGCGUUGUCCGGAAUUAUUGGGCGUAAAGGGCUCGUAGGCGGUUUGUCGCGUCGGGAGUGAAAACCUUGGGCUUAACUCAGGGCUUGCUUUCGAUACGGGCAGACUAGAGGUAUGCAGGGGAGAACGGAAUUCCUGGUGUAGCGGUGAAAUGCGCAGAUAUCAGGAGGAACACCGGUGGCGAAGGCGGCUACCUGGACAGAAACUGACGCUGAGGCGCGAAAGCUAGGGGAGCAAACAGG
Molecule: ribosomal RNA, 253 nt
Filed under: uncultured bacterium
Lineage: Bacteria
Description: partial 16S ribosomal RNA
Rfam family: Bacterial small subunit ribosomal RNA
Source: RNAcentral